GUGAGUGCGACACCCCGCCGAGGGAAGGUCGCCGAGUGAGGCCGAGGGAAGGUCGCCGAGUGAGGCCGAGGCCGCGUUGGGGGCUCCCUGGAAACGGCCCCCUAGCCUUUCUCGCAUCGGUGGUGGCAGUCGUUCCUGCCUGGGGGCGGGAGGUCCAGGAUCCUUGUUCCGGUUACUGUUGGCGGGUGGAGGACAUUUUUCCUCCAGAUGGCUGCUUCCCCCACCCCUGAACCGUCCCUUGGCUUCCCCAUGCGGGAAAUCCUACUUUUACCCCUUUGGCUGUCUGGGCUACUCGCCUCUUUCGGUAACUUCACCCUAGGCCUUAAGAUCCCGGUAGCUGCUCGCCAUGCGGCGCCCUGAAGCGUGAACCUUCGUGGGUCGCCUCUCGGCUGCUUGGGCGCUUCGGUUCUGUUGCUCUGUGGUCCCGGGGCCAGGCCCUGAGUCGAGUGCACGUGUGGUGGGUGCCGCCAGGUGCCUGGCGGAGCUCCUGGGAGAGCCCCACGCGGACCUCGCCAUGAGCGGCAGGUACUGCUAGGCAACUAGAAGGAAGCCAUGCCCACGCCGAAACAUACUUCCCUCUUCAGUGUCUGGGUUUCUUGAGUGUGGGUACUUCCAGUCCGCCUCCUAAUUCCAGUCUCUUGAAAACACGGGAGGUUGCCAAAACUCAGCUGCUUCCCUGGCAGCGAGGAGGAGUUACCAUUGAGCAGGUAGUUCCGCACGUGUCGACUUUGGAAAGAUACGGACAUUUUCUGUGUUCCAUGUUCAACUUCAGGCAACCUGCUUCUGCAAAGUGGUACGAUCGAAGGGACUACGUCUUCAUUGAAUUUUGUGUUGAAGACAGUAAGGAUGUUAAUGUAAAUUUUGAAAAAUCCAAACUUACAUUCAGUUGUCUCGGAGGAAGUGAUAAUUUUAAGCAUUUAAAUGAAAUUGAUCUUUUUCACUGUAUUGAUCCAAAUGAUUCCAAGCAUAAAAGAACGGACAGAUCAAUUUUAUGUUGUUUACGAAAAGGAGAAUCUGGCCAGUCAUGGCCAAGGUUAACAAAAGAAAGGGCAAAGCUUAAUUGGCUUAGUGUCGACUUCAAUAAUUGGAAAGACUGGGAAGAUGAUUCAGAUGAAGACAUGUCUAAUUUUGAUCGUUUCUCUGAGAUGAUGAACAACAUGGGUGGUGAUGAGGAUGUAGAUUUACCAGAAGUAGAUGGAGCAGAUGAUGUAAGUCUAAAAAUUUUUUUCUGUUUACUUUCAUACUAUUAAAUAGUAAGAAACAACAUAUUUACAAAUGGUUUUAUAUAGAUUCACGAUUACUUUGUAUUUUCUAAAAAAAAAAAAAAAAAACAAAGGGAAAAGCAAUUUUUAAAAUGUGCCCAUUUUUGAGGAAUGGGUAUCAGGGAACUGGUUGUACUGUAGACCAUUCCUAAAUGGAUUAGAUUUCCAAAGAAUCAUUGUAUAGAGACAUUAUAUAUUAAUACCGUACUCAAUUACAACAGUCAGUUUAGGCUGGGCGAGGUGGCUCAUGUCUGUAAUCCCAGCAGGCCAGGUGGGCGGAUUACCUGAGGUCAGGAGUUCGAGACCAGCCUGGCCAACAUGGUGAAACCCUGUCUUAAAAAAAUUAGCCAGGCAUGAUGGCAGGUGCCUGUAAUCCCAGCUACUGGGGAGGCUGAGGUGGGAGAAUCGCUUGAACCUGGGAGGCGGAGGUUGCAGUGAGCCAAGAUCACACCAUUGUACUCCAGCGUGGGCAGCAGAGCGAGGCUCCAUCUCAAAAAGAAAGAAAAGAGUCAUUUUAUAGGAUUCACAAGACAGUGAUGAUGAAAAAAUGCCAGAUCUGGAGUAAGGAAUAUUGUCAUCACCUGGAUUUUGAGAAAGAAAAAUAACUUCUUUGCAAGAUUUCAUAAUUGAGAGAAUUCCUGAGUUGAUAGCUCUAAAGGCAGAUGCUGUAUUUGCCUACUUUAACCCAUUUUUCAACCUGUUUGUUUUUUAAAAGGCUUCACUAAGGGUUGAUAUGUACCAUUGUAUGGGGCAAUUUUAAGUCAGCUAAGGCAAUAACCUUAUGCAUGAACAUUUCCCAGACUUUCAUGAAGCUGUUGAGGUCCUAGGCAAUUAAUGCAGCAGUUGUGAUAAAUAAAAACAUCUCACCUAAGUCUCCUUUUUUUCAUAACAUAGAUACUGACAUGAUAGGAAGCUCUCAGCUUAGGGAAAGAGAAUAAAUUUUAGAUUAUAGAACAUGGAUUCAAAAGUUGCUGGAACAAAUUGGCUGACACCUUACUGGUAACCUGCUAUUCCUCUGGUGUUAUCCUUCAGGAUUGUUCCACUAAAAUUUAUUUUUCAAAAGAUUUACUUCACAUUAUUCUAUGUAAGUGAUCACUUGUCAGUGUUCCAGGUGUAUCUUAGCUAAAACUAGAGAAUGCCCUAACUUAGAUGGUUUUUGAAGCCUGUACAUUUGGUAUCGUUUGACCCUUAAGCUUUUACAUCUCUUAGCAUGGAGGACGAAGAAAGCUGUACAUUGUUGCUUGAGAGUCUGUACAUUUAGUCCAGAUUUGUAUUUGCACUGUCAGUAUGGCAAAUGAGUGAAAAAUGUUUAAUACACUAUUGGAUUUUUUAUUUCUCUUUUUGAUUCAGCUUAUACCAGGGCUGAAAACCUCAAUUUAUGUUCAUGACAGUGGGGAUUUUUUUAAAUGUCUACAUUCUUUCUAAUAAACUGUUGGAAGACUUCUUGGCUGUCCUUUUAAGUGUCUGGCUUACUGUAAUUUUUAUGUAUUUACCAUUUACUGGAAUGGAGUUUAUUUGAGGAAGAAUUUGGGAUUAUUCCUCUGUUUGAAAAAGAGGCUUGCUGUAAUGUCACAGGAAACCUUUUAAAAGUGUAUCUGUAAUAGCAUAUUGUAGAUGCACUUUGCAGCAGUUGGAAAAGAAAGUGUUGUGAUUUGAUUGAAAUAAAACUAAAUGUGUUGUCCUCCUCUAAAUCUUUGAA
RNAcentral lists this small RNA (2961 nucleotides) under Pongo abelii (Sumatran orangutan). Its description in RNAcentral is "processed transcript". Lineage: Eukaryota; Metazoa; Chordata; Mammalia; Primates; Hominidae. The record is from RNAcentral.